RNAcentral lists this ribosomal RNA (513 nucleotides) under uncultured Acidobacteriota bacterium. Its description in RNAcentral is "SSU rRNA". It matches the Rfam family "Bacterial small subunit ribosomal RNA", at positions 242 to 772 of the family's 1533-position model. The record is from RNAcentral. Lineage: Bacteria; Pseudomonadati; Acidobacteriota.
CAGCUAGUUGGUGAGGUAACGGCCCACCAAGGCAAUGAUCGGUAGCCGGCCUGAGAGGGCACACGGCCACACUGGCACUGAAACACGGGCCAGACUCCUACGGGAGGCAGCAGUGGGGAAUCUUGCACAAUGGGGGCAACCCUGAUGCAGCGACGCCGCGUGAGCGAUGAAGCCCUUCGGGGUGUAAAGCUCUUUCGGCAGGAACGAUAAUGACGGUACCUGAAGAAGAAGCUGCGGCUAACUACGUGCCAGCAGCCGCGGUAAUACGUAGGCAGCGAGCGUUGUUCGGAGUUACUGGGCGUAAAGAGUGCGUAGGCGGUCCUGUAAGUUUGGUGUGAAAUCUCCCGGCUCAACUGGGAGGGUGCGCCGAAGACUGCAGGGCUUGAGUAUGGGAGAGGUAAGCGGAAUUCCUGGUGUAGCGGUGAAAUGCGUAGAUAUCAGGAGGAACACCUGUGGUGUAGACAGCUUACUGGACCAUCACUGACGCUGAGGCACGAAAGCGUGGGUAGCACA